This 236-nucleotide ribosomal RNA is filed under the name Enterococcus faecium. Its description in RNAcentral is "partial 16S ribosomal RNA". It matches the Rfam family "Bacterial small subunit ribosomal RNA", at positions 464 to 699 of the family's 1533-position model. The record is from RNAcentral. Lineage: Bacteria; Bacillati; Bacillota; Bacilli; Lactobacillales; Enterococcaceae.
AUCCCUUGACGGUAUCUACCCAGAUAGCCACGGCUAACUCCGAGCCAGCAGCCGCGGUAAUACGUAGGUGGCAAGCGUUGUCCGGAUUUAUUGGGCGUAAUGCGAGCGCAGGCGGUUUCUUAAGUCUGAUGUGAAAGCCCCCGGCUCAACCGGGGAGGGUCAUUGGAAUCUGGGAGACUUGAGUGCAGAAGAGGAGAGUGGAAUUCCAUGUGUAGCGGUGAAAUGCGUAGAUAUAU